RNA transcript from Canis lupus familiaris (dog), 5949 nucleotides. It is a transcript of the gene named solute carrier family 35 member F6, with no coding region annotated. The transcript is spliced from 10 exons. The record is from RefSeq and is a predicted model, not a curated record. Lineage: Eukaryota; Metazoa; Chordata; Mammalia; Carnivora; Canidae.
GCGCGCGUCACGUGACGCCCGGCCCGGAAGCGCUCGCUCCCGAGACCCCCCAGGUGACGGGGUCGGGAGCUGCCGCCCGGAGCCAGCGGGGAGGUCGAGGUCACGGGGAUCCCUGCAGUUUCCCGCUCCCCUCAUCCGCCGCCAUGGCCUGGACCAAGUACCAGCUGUUCCUGGCCGGGCUCAUGCUCGUCACCGGCUCCAUCAACACGCUCUCGGCCAAGUGGGCAGACAACUUCGUGGCGCAGGGCUGUGGAGGAAGCAAGGAGCACAGCUUCCAGCAUCCCUUCCUCCAGGCGGUGGGCAUGUUCCUGGGAGAGUUCUCCUGCCUGGCUGCCUUCUACCUGCUUCGGUGCCGAGCGGCAAGGCACCCAGACGCCAGCAUGGAUCCCCAGCAGCCCUUCAAUCCCCUUCUUUUCCUGCCCCCUGCCCUGUGCGACAUGACGGGGACCAGCAUCAUGUAUGUGGCCCUGAACAUGACGAGUGCCUCCAGCUUCCAGAUGCUGCGGGGAGCAGUGAUCAUAUUCACAGGCCUGUUCUCAGUGGCCUUCCUGGGGCGGAGGCUGGCACUGAGCCAGUGGCUGGGCAUCCUUGCCACCAUCGCAGGGCUGGUGGUUGUGGGCCUGGCCGACCUUCUGAGCAAGCAUGAUGAUCAGCACAAACUCAGCGAAGUGAUCACAGGGGACCUGCUGAUCAUCAUGGCCCAGAUCAUUGUCUCCAUCCAGAUGGUGCUCGAGGAGAAGUUCGUCUACAGGCAUAAUGUUCACCCACUGCGGGCAGUUGGCACUGAGGGCCUCUUUGGCUUCGUGAUCCUCUCCCUGCUGCUGGUGCCCAUGUACUAUAUCCCUGCCGGCUCCUUCAGUGGAAGCCCCCGAGGGACGCUGGAGGACGCGCUGGACGCCUUCUGCCAGGUGGGCCGACAACCGCUCAUCGCCCUGGCGCUGCUGGGCAACAUCAGCAGCAUCGCCUUCUUCAACUUCGCGGGCAUCAGCGUCACCAAGGAACUGAGCGCCACGACCCGCAUGGUGCUGGACAGCCUGCGUACCAUUGUCAUUUGGGCGCUGAGCCUGGCGCUGGGCUGGGAGGCCUUCCACCCUCUGCAGAUCCUGGGCUUCCUCAUCCUGCUGACAGGCACCGCCCUCUACAAUGGGCUGCACCGCCCACUGCUCACCCGCCUGGCCAGGGGCCGGCCCCCGGCAGAAGAGGGUGAGCACGAGAGACUGCUCGGUGGCUCCCGGACUCCCAUCAAUGAUGCUAGUUGAGCCUCUCGUGGGUUCUCCGCUGCUACCUGGAUGCACCUUGUCCACCCUGAGGCCGAGGCCACAUAGGCUGGUGAGCCUCCCGUGUCCUGUUCCCAAAGGCCUCACCCCACCCCUCCCCAACGCCCCUUUCCCCUCCCAGGGCAGCUGCUGCCACAGGACCAGACACCCGGGUCCUCCUUUGUUACCACCCCCUGCAACCCCCACAGGCCUGAGCACAGUGACCGACCCUUGCCAGGCUCCCCUCAACCCCCAAAGCCCCUCCUGCAGCACUAGCACUAAAUCAUGAAGUGGAAUUGCAGGAACUAACAACUGUAAGGUUUCCUCCUAAAACAUAAGCUAACUUUGGUUCUCCAGAGAAGAGAGGUCAGUGAGCAAAUUCAAACCAGACCUAAGCGCCAUGUUUUCUAAAACUACAAGUUAUUCGCCAACCCUGUCUUGGAGACCUAAGUCUUAGCUGGAUUGUGCACAAACUCAGCAGAUGUCCCCCAGCCCCUUACCUAGUGGCCCUGGGCCUUGGAGUCCUUGUCUAGAAAGCAGAAGAUACAGAUGUUGUGGCUUCGGUGCCUCCCAGCCUCUGCUGGGCCCAUCCUGUGGGAAAGGAGGAGCCCAUUCUUUGCAAAGGCUCCUCUACCCUCUGUGCCUCCUCCCCAUUGGUGUCCUGGCUGCCACACUCUGAAGGCCUCCCUGCCUGGGACAGAUGACGGGGAAUUCCAAGCAGCUCUUCAGAGCAGCUUUGAUGAACUCUUCACCUUCCAUUUUAAAGAUGAAAAGACUGAGGCCCAGAGAUGUAAGUGGUUUUACGAGAGUGCACUCCUGCAGUGGACUCUGGCUGAGCAGCCUCGUGAUCUGCUGCAGGCUGGGAUCCAGAGCACAUCUGGACUUCAGCCGUACUCCCAGCAACCUGACUCCAUAGAUAUCCCUCCGGGGUAAUGAAUUUGCCAGGACUCCACCAUUUAGAGGAAUUCUGGUCUCCUAGACAUGAGCUAAAUGCUUAACACUAAUCCUCUGGUGUAACAACCUGCACAGGUGGGUGUAGAUGAGGAAGCCAUGGCCCAGAGGUGUUAACUGACUUCCUCACAGAACCAGGAUUUCAAGCUAGGUUUGCCUGAUUCCAGACCUCCAGCCCCACCCACCGUACAGGUCUCCCUGGGGUCUUUGGGGUACAUUUCCCAAGGCCGGAAUAAAAGCUUCAUGUGCUGUUGUCCUCCCCACCCUGAAGAGAGGGGACUGGCAUUGGGGGGCCCCAGGGAGUGAAGCAGUCCUUCCUUACGGAGUUCCUCACUCCGUGGCAGUUUCUGGAGCCUCAGUCCAUUUUUCUGGGCAGCUCAAUCAUAAAACAAAACACCAAAUGCCUUCCUUAAAAUAGAUUCUGGGGGAAGGGAUCUUUGACACGCAAAGCCCUUAGGCUGUGUGGGAAUCAGCAGGUUAUUACAGUUUGUUGGGAGAAGAGGGCCUCUCCAUGCCUCCAGCUCUGCGUCUCAGGGGCCCCUGAGCUUCUGUGGGCCACAGUGUGUGCCACAGAAGAGGGAAAUGGAGGGUAAGCGUGGUGGGGACUAUAGCUGCCUUGUCCAAAAAAACUGGGGCCUUAAAAUGUCAUUAAGACAAAAGGGAAAUUGGGAGCGUGGCCUUUCCUCCCCCACCCCCUUAAAUGAGAGGGAAGUUGCACAAGGGUUAAAUAUAUCAGGCCUGCCACCAAAUCAGGCAAAUCAUUUUACCUCUGGAGCUUUGGGUCUUCACAUCUCUAAAAUGGGAAAGCCAGCCUCCAUCUUGCAGGGUGAGCUUGAAAAUUACAUAAGAUAAUAAAUUGAAGGUGCCUGUAAAUGCCAACACACAGGAGUGUUGUGGAAGACUGCACUGGCCACCAGGGCGGUCUGCCAAGGGCGUGGAAGUCCCAGCAGAGGCACAGCACAGAGCAUCAGUUUUACUCAGAGGGAAGGAAAUGUUUUAUUAAAAUACACCAUCAUGGAAAGAAAAACUAUACCAUCAUUGAGGAGAAUGUAAAAUUCACAUCUAUUUUAAGACAAAACUAGAUGCCUCAAAAAUACUUUGUGCUGACAGGAGGUGCCUUCCCAGCCCCUAGAGGUGUGUUCGCUCUCCUGUCAUUUGAGGGAUGCUUUGGAGGGUGGGUCCGAGAGGCCUUGCUGGUCAUGUGGAUGAGAAAGUAAGCACCCCCACUCUCGCUGAGGCUGGAAGGUUGUGGAGGAUGUUUUCAGUGGAGUAAGAGGGUUCUGAAUUGUGGAAGUUUGGUGGGGAGGUUCUGAACCUCUGUAAAAUCAGAACCAACUGAUUGCGAGCUUCUGUAAACAUCAGUUCAAAGACUAUAAUUUAAAGCACGUGCAUCAGAGUGGAUUGCUCAGUCCCUGUCCCUUGCAGAGUGGUCUUGGGGCAGGGGCUUCCUGUAGGACUGCCAUCCAGAACCCGGGGUAGCCCUGGGACUCCUCCACCAGAAAUCUGCCCACAAGGCAGAAAUUUAGGACCUUACCAGGUAAUUCCAUCUGCCUUCACUUUGUCCAAAGGUCUCUGCUGGUUUAACAAACCGCACUCGAAGAGGUCAGAGCUCUGACUCCUGAUGAGGUCAGAAGUGGAGCAAAGGGCCACCUGGUAUAGAAAAGGUAGAAUCGGAAGUCAGAGAGCUGUGUUCUCAGCCCCACUUCUACUUUGGGUGACCUUGGACAAGUCAUUUUAUCUCUCAAGGCCUAAGCUACCUAUAAAAAGGAGAAGUUCUGAGCAUUACUAAAUAUGUACACCUCCCUGACCGGCUUACAGGUUAACCUCAUUCUUUCAUAUUCACCUUGGCCAAGAGCCCCUUUGGCCUUUUUGUUGACUAUGUGCUUUCCAACCUUAAGGUCAGCAGGGGAUUUCCCCUAGUUGUAAAAGUUUAUAAAUCACCCAUCUUCAUCAAGAACACUUGUCAAAAAAUCUUUGGUAAAGGAUUACAAUCCCAGAAUUUAGCCAACUGUAUUGAGAACGGAUGUGCUCCAAGGGCUGUGAAUCCAUGAAAGAAAAACAGGAGACAAAUGUGUAAAGAAAAUUCCAGCACAGCGUGAUGUGCAUAAGAGGCCCUUUGUAUGAGAUACAAAGGAGGCCUUACAGGGAACUCUAGAACUAGAACUCUGAGAGCGCCACUGGAGCUGGUUGGUAGAGAAUGGGCAGGAGUCUCCCAGGCUGGCAGGAUGGGAUAGUAGGGGUAUUCCAGGAAAAAGGAACAGCUUGUAAGAAGCACAGAAACAUGCACUUCUUCCCGUCACCCUGGUUCCCGAAAACAUCUGGUUAUGAAGGAGAUCCGAAAGCUUCAGAUGAGUACAAACCUGUUGUUAAGGAAGAACCCCUUCAGCCGCCUGGUGAGAGAGAUAUGUGUUAAAUUCACACGCGGUGUGGACUUCUCUUGGCAAGCCCAGGCCCUGUUGGCCCUGCAAGAGGAUGUACAGCUGGCCAGGAGGAUCCGAGGCAUUCAGGAAGGGCUUGGCUGAGCCCUGGCCCCAUCUCUGGAUGACGCCAGGGACACUGUCCAGAGCCAGGAACAGACCCGUGGAACCCAAGGAGGUGCCCGGACUGGCCAUCUCUGAGCAGUGUGCAUGUUGCUUGUGUAAUUGGUUUAUUUAAGAAGGAGAAGACUGCAUGGCUUUCCUCUGUAACAGAGGUAAUACAUGAGAAAAUCAGCGUCAUUCCAGAGAACUGAGUCUCCAAGGUUCACUUCAUAAUGCAAAUUGGUCACAUGACUGCGGAAUCAUUUUGAAGUUAUCAGAUUUUCUGGGCUGUGGGAAAAAAGGAUAUUGUUUUAUUAUUCGAGAUCUUCCUGUACCGUUUAAAUUUUUUUACCAUAUGUAUAUUUUCUGUAAAAUACCAGGGAACAAAACAAAACGCGACCCCUUCUGUCAGCUGCAUGGAGGAGCCUGGCACAUUCCAGGCACAAAUCCCUGUCCCUCUGUUAACCUCAUCAUGAGUGGUGGCAGCAAGUGAUGUGUGGGCCCUGCUUGUCAACACACGUGUAGCUUUUUAAAAACUCAGUUGGGGUUAAAAUAGAAAAUCUUUUAAGUACUGGUGUUCUGGUUCCUUUGAGUAAAUUCCUGUCAAAGUCAUUCAGAAAUUCUAGCUUGUAGAACUUAUUCUUAUUUAUAAAUCAUAGAAGACGUAUCAUGAUUUAUACUUUAGAAUUUUUCAUUCUGGAGUUUUAGAGUGCCUUUUCAAAGUUUUUACAGGUGUUUUUUAGAACUUCUUUGUGGAGCGAUAAUAAAAAUAAGAAUUCUUUAAUGAAAAAACUGUAAAGCAAAAUUACAGUUAGCGCGUAUAGAGAUACUACAUUUUUUUGUGUGUGUUAAUGUUGAGUUCUCCAUCUGUACGCUGUUUUCCAAGCGGCCACCAUUCAAACAAGAGAAUGGCGGGGUGUGUUUGGGCUCCCAUAGAGUAGAGUGUGAGCAGAUAAAAACCUUGCCUCCUGUUCCAUCCAAAAGCAGUUAAAGUGUUUUCUAGAGAAACGGAAAGUGCCACUAAAAGACUUUCAGACUUUGCAUGUGAUGGAAAUCACUUCUGACAGUGAUACCUCAGGCAACCACAUUCUGAGACAAACUGAAAGGAAGGACCAAGUUCUGUUGUUGAAUAAAUUUUAACCCUUUGGAAAAACCUCUUCCUGUUCCAUAACAAGUCCUAUUUAUACAGACAUCAAAUAAACUAUAUUUACUUUAUGAAUAUA